UUUCCGUAGGUGAACCUGCGGAAGGAUCAUUAUUGUAUAACCGAGGUGCGAGGGCUGUCGCUGACCUUUUCGGUCGUGCACGCCCGAGCGCUCUCACACAAUCCAUCUCACCCCUUGUGCACCACCGCGUGGGUCCCUUUCUGGCUCGUUCGGAGGGGGGCUCGCGUUUUCACACAAACUUGAAGUAGUGUAGAAUGUCCUUUUUUUGCGAUAACACGCAAUCAAUACAACUUUCAACAACGGAUCUCUUGGCUCUC
Molecule: unclassified non-coding RNA, 257 nt
Filed under: plant metagenome
Description: partial contains small subunit ribosomal RNA, internal transcribed spacer 1, and 5.8S ribosomal RNA
Source: RNAcentral